UUUGCUUUAUUUUAUUUUAUUUAUCUAUUUUGAGACAGAGUCUCGCUCUGUCGCUCAGAUUGGAGUGCAGUGGUGCCUUCUUGUCUCACUGCAACCUCUGCCUCCCAGAUUCAAGUGAUUCUGCUGCCUCAGCCUCCCAAGUAGCUGGGAUUAGAGGUGCCCGCCACCUCGCCAGGCCAAUUUUUUUGUAUUUUUAGUAGAGAUGGGGUUUCACCAUGUUGGCCAGGCUGGUCUCAAACUCCCGACCUCAGGUAAUCCACCCUCCUCAGCCCUUCAAAGUGCUGGGAUUACGGGAGUUAGCCACCACACCCAGCCAUGUUUUAUUUUAGGAUUUCAGGAUUGGUCACCUUCAUGUUAAAUGUGGCUUUCAAGCAGUGUUAAUGAAACUGCUCAGGAAGACAGAUGAGGCAGGUGUGUUAUCUGUACCCAAACAAACCUAGAGAAUAUUGGGCAUUGGCCUUGUUUUAAGCAAAUAUGCAGUUCAGCUCAAACUUAAUACACUCGGGUGUGUCCCCCAGCCCCAAUCCCACCCAGGCCAAUCUCCCAGGAUUGUAGGGAAGGCUUUCACUCCUGGAGAUGAGAUAAAGAACCACUGGAUGUGUCACUGACCCACAGGAACAGUGAGGCAGUGGGGAGGAAAGCUGCAAGGCACUGAUGAUUAGUAGCUUUAUGGACAGCAGUUACUGGAUAGAUCAUCAAGCCCCACAAGUGUUUGAUGGGUUUUCCUGUCUGCACUGUUGGCAGGACUUUUGUGUAUUGAUAUGUUCAGUUAUAUGUGAUAGUUGUAAGCCUUCAGUAGAGUAUAAAGAAUUUAUUUAUCAUAAAUGGCACCACAGAGAAUUUCACCAAUAAAUUUUGUGCAGUAACCAAGACACGGAAAGAGUAUCUCUUUCAUUGCUUCCAACAAAGCCUCUGUUGUUCCCAGACUGAUUUUAGCAUAGGAUUUAAUGUGGUAACAGAAGUGUCUAUGCUUAUCAGAUACAGCUGUUUAUCAGUGUGUAGCAGGUUAGGCAUCUAUUUGGUUUCUGGCAAAAAAAAAAGGAACAUCUUCAACAAGGAAUAUCAUCAGCUCUUUACAUUUAUAACAAGGAUUUACUGUUUGUAAUACUUACGUUUAAGGGAAACUGAUAGAGUAAUAAUGUAUCCAAAUCUACCUGUGUGUCUUCAGAACAGGACAAAUUGCUUACCAGUGUUCUUUCUACAUUUACUUUUCAGUUUAUAUAAAAGUAAUAUGGCCAGGCGAAGUGGCUCAAGCCUGUAAUUCCAGCACUUUGGGAGGCUAAGGUGGGUAAAUCACCCGAGGUCAGGAGUUCGAAACCAGCCUGACCAAUAAGGUGAAACCUCAUCUCUACUAACUAUACAAAAAAGUUAGCCAGGCGUGGUGGCAGGCGCCUGCAUCUCAGCUACUCAGCUACUCUGAAGGCUGAGACAGGAGAACUGCUUGAACCUGGGAGGCCGAGGUUGCAGUGAGCCGAGAUCAUGCCACUGCACUCUAGCCUGGGCAACACAGCAAGCUUCCAUCUCAAAAAAUAAUAAUAAUAUGCAAAGGAGAAUAAUAGUAAAGAAUUUGAAAGCCAUGAACUUACAAACAUUGUUCUGUAAGAAUCACUGUUUUGUUAUUGAGUAUCUUUAGAUUGUUCUGUAAUCUAAAGUUUUCCAGGACUUUUGUGUGCUAGCUUUUCCUAAUUAGAAAAAGCUACAUUUCAUGACUACUUCAUUGCCAUACAAUUCACAUAGGCUAAUGUUCACCUUUUUAAAAUGAAUGAUUCCACAUUUAAAGUUUUCCGUAUAUUCACCAAGUUGUGCUCUGAUCACCACUGUGCAAUUUCACAUUUUAUCAUUGUCUUAGUCUUAGCUUAUGCAAGAGGAGGAACUGAGCAGCUGCAGAUGUGACUGAAUCCAACGUGCCCUAGUGUCUUUUCUGUUGUUAUAACGGAAUAUCUGAGACUGGGUAAUUUAUUUGAAAAGUAAAUUUAUGGGAAGGGCUUGGGGCAGCGAAUAUGGCUGCGGUGGCGGCGGCCGCCGGCCUGGGUAGUGGCGGUGGCGCCGGCCCGGGACCCGAGGCCGGAGACUUCCUGGCCGGCUACCGGCUUGUAUCAAACAAGCUGAAGAAGCUGUUUCUGCGGAAGCUGAACGUGGCGGAGGCCGGCGAGCAGUUCGGACAGCUGGGCCGUGAGCUGCGCGCUCAGGAGUAUCUGCCGUAAGCGGCCUGGUGCCAGCUGGCGGUGGCGCGCUGCCAGCAGGCGCUCUUCCACGGGCUCGGGGAGGCGCUGGCCCUCACUGAGGCCGCCCGCCUCUUCCUGCGACAGGAGCGCGAAGCGCGCCAGCGCCUGGUCUGCCUCGCCGCCUACGGGGAGCCGCUGCAGGCCGCCGCCAGCGCCCUGGGCGCCGCGGUGCGCCUGCACCUCGAGCUGGGCCAGCCGACCCCCGCGGCGGGUCACUGCCAGCGCGCCGCCCAGCUCCAGCGCCGCGAUGCAUGCGCUCGGUGAGGCAGCCUCCUGCCAGCUGCUGGCGCGCGAUUACACCGGCGCCCUGGCGCUCUUGACGCGCAUGCAGCGCCUGGCGCGGGAGCACGGCAGCCACCCCGUGCAGCCGCAGCCGCUGCCGCCGCCCCCGCCGGCGGGGCCGCAGUUCGGGCCCGGGGCGACGCCCGCCCUACCGGCCGCACUGCUUGCUCCAAACGCCGGCUCCGCGGCGCCUUCUCCCGCCGCCCUGGGCACCUUCUCGGACCUACUGGUCCGCUGCGAGGUGUCCCGCGUUCUGCUGACGCUCCUCCUGCAACCACCGUCCGCCAAGCUGCUGCCGGAGCACGCCCAGACCCUGGAGAAGUACUCGUGGGAGGCUUUUGACAGCCACGGGCAGGAGAGCAGCGGCCAGCUUCCCGAGGAGCUCUUUCUGCUGCUCCAGUCUUUGGUCAUGUCUACCCACGAAAAGGACACGGAAGCCAUCAAGUCGCUGCAAGUGGAGAUGUGACCACUGUUGACUGUUGAGCAGAACCACCUCCUUCACCUCGUUCUUCAAGAAACCAUCUCCCCCGCAGGACAGGGGAUCUGACCCAUCCCACUCACCCGAUGGCUUUUUGCCCGGACGGGGAGGGUAUUCCCAUCAAUCCCGUUAACCAUAUGACUUUUUGCCUGUUACCAAACCUCACGCAUCCACGUUUGCGUCUGGGGAGACAUAAAAAGACACACCGUCCCAGCCUCUGCGUUUUAUGUUAUUCCUGUUGCCGCCAUAGGAAUUACCUCGUUGACUGAACGCUGCCUGCAUCACAAACUCCUGUUUCCGUAGCAGAGCGAGAGCAACACAUUUUCAUGGAACCGGAGUAGAGGACAUGGCUCACUUCCAAAAAGCCAUGACACGAAAAUGACAGCCCCUUUCGUCUCCUUCCUCCGCUUCUUCCACCGAACGCAGCCUCCUGCCUCCACCUUUGUUUCAUAGUGAGGAUUUCAUUUUGCGGCGGCUCCCUCCCUCUAAACACCCGCCGUAGAUGAUUUCAUCCUGCCCCUCAUUUCUUAACGUAUUUCUGUGUCUUUGUAAUGGCCAGAUUUCUCCUGCCACUCGUCGGCACAGUACGUCUUCAUGGGAGUCAUUUUAUUCCUUCCAGCUUCCUUGUAACCACAGCCCUGAAUCCAUGACAAAGCCACUCCUGUUAAAAAAAAAAAAAAAGAAAGAAAGAAAAAGAAAA
Molecule: non-coding RNA, 3685 nt
Organism: Callithrix jacchus (white-tufted-ear marmoset)
Lineage: Eukaryota; Metazoa; Chordata; Mammalia; Primates; Cebidae
Source: RefSeq, a predicted model, not a curated record